Molecule: non-coding RNA, 76 nt
Organism: Myotis brandtii (Brandt's bat)
Lineage: Eukaryota; Metazoa; Chordata; Mammalia; Chiroptera; Vespertilionidae
Source: Rfam
GAGACACCCUUAUGGAGCAGGACUGGCUUCAGUGGGGCUUUGGUACUCACUCAGUCUGCCCCUUGAGUGUGUCACU